Molecule: ribosomal RNA, 497 nt
Filed under: uncultured bacterium
Lineage: Bacteria
Description: partial 16S ribosomal RNA
Rfam family: Bacterial small subunit ribosomal RNA
Source: RNAcentral
GAUGAACGCUGGCGGCGUGCCUAAUACAUGCAAGUCGAGCGAACAGACGAGGAGCUUGCUCCUCUCACGUUAGCGGCGGACGGGAGAGUAACACGUGUAUAACCUACCUAUAAGUCUGGGAUAACUUCGGGAAACGGGCUCUAAUACCGGAUAAUAUAUUGCACCGCAGUGUUCAAUGGUGAAAGACGGUUUUGCUGUCACUUCUAGAGGGAUCCGGGCCGCAUUAGCUAGUUGUUAAGGUAACGGCUUACCAAGGCAACGAUGCGUUGCCGACCUGAGAGAGUGGUCGCCCACAUGGGAGGGUGAACACGGUCCAGACGCCUGCGGGAGGCAGCAGAAGGGAACCGUCCGCAGUGGGCGAGAGCAUGACGGAGCGACGCCGCGUGAGUGAUGAAGGUCUUCGGAGCGUAAAACUCUGUUAUUAGGGAAGAACCAAUGUGUAAGUAACUAUGCACGUAUUGACGGUACCUAAUCAGAAAGCCACGGCUAACUACGUG